RNAcentral lists this unclassified non-coding RNA (21 nucleotides) under Mus musculus (house mouse). Its description in RNAcentral is "oocyte_clustered_small_RNA9201". The record is from RNAcentral. Lineage: Eukaryota; Metazoa; Chordata; Mammalia; Rodentia; Muridae.
UCCCUGUCCCUCUGUGCUCAG